Molecule: ribosomal RNA, 481 nt
Filed under: uncultured bacterium
Lineage: Bacteria
Description: partial 16S ribosomal RNA
Rfam family: Bacterial small subunit ribosomal RNA
Source: RNAcentral
GAUGAACGCUGGCGGCGUGCUUAACACAUGCAAGUCGAACGAAGCAUUUAAGACAGAUUACUUCGGUUUGAAGUCUUUUAUGACUGAGUGGCGGACGGGUGAGUAACGCGUGGGUAACCUGCCUCAUACAGGGGGAUAGCAGCUGGAAACGGCUGGUAAUACCGCAUAAGCGCACAGUACCACAUGGUACAGUGUGAAAAACUCCGGUGGUAUGAGAUGGACCCGCGUCUGAUUAGCUUGUUGGCGGGGUAACGGCCCACCAAGGCGACGAUCAGUAGCCGACCUGAGAGGGUGACCGGCCACAUUGGGACUGAGGCACGGCCCAGACUCCUACGGGAGGCAGCAGUGGGGAAUAUUGCACAAUGGAGGAAACUCUGAUGCAGCGACGCCGCGUGAGUGAAGAAGUAGUUCGCUAUGUAAAGCUCUAUCAGCAGGGAAGAUAGUGACGGUACCUGACUAAGAAGCUCCGGCUAAAUACGUG